This 868-nucleotide long non-coding RNA is filed under the name Homo sapiens (human). Its description in RNAcentral is "HSALNT0350294". Lineage: Eukaryota; Metazoa; Chordata; Mammalia; Primates; Hominidae. The record is from RNAcentral.
GCUAAGCCACUGGCCAGGAGAUGAUGCUGAAUAGGGAGAGUUCAGGCUUUUGAGACCGCCUGCCCUGAGUAGGAAUCCUGUCCCUGAAAAAUGCUAAGCGUUUGACCCUGCACAGGUUUAAUAACCAGCCUUAGUCUCACCUGAAAAGUAGGAAUAACAAUAAUCACCUUGAAAAUAUGUGUCAGGAUUAAGGGAGUUCACAUCUGUCAAACUUUAGCACGAAGAGGCAUUCAUUUCAUAUUCAUUGAUAUAAUAUGAAUGGUACCAUAUUCAUUCUUACUAUUUCAUCCAAAUGAGAAGAGAACUUUCAGAGAGAAUGGAAUAGAAGAAGUCAAGAUUGGACAGGACAUGAGUUAGGAGAGAGGGUGAUGGCUUGGACCAAGGUGAUGGUCCUGGAGACAAAGAGAAAUUUGCAGCUUUCAGAUGUGUUUUUACAUGGAAGGAAGAACUGACCAGACAUGCUGAUGGGCUGAACAAGAGGAAUCCAGCCUAAGGAGACAGUCAGAAGUGCUCACCAAGAUUCAGAGGUUCUUCAUUGCCUUACCAUAUUUGUAAGUCACAAACUGGAAGCUACCACAGGGUCCAGCCUUAUGAGAGUGGUGCAGUCAAUCCCAGAUCUUCCAUAUGACAGGGAGCUGGUCAUCCUUCAAAGUGCUGCUUACUAAGAUGACAAUGAGACUGGAAAAUUCUCAUUAAAUAAACAAAUGGCUGGGUAAGUGCUUACUGCAUGGUGUAUUCAUGUUAGUAGAGAAAUAUCUACAAAAUACGCUCGUGGUAAACUCUAUAAAUCAUGAAAAUGUAAAACUGCAAGAAAUCUCAAGGUCAUCGUUUCAAAAUGCAUGCUAUAGUUGAGCAAAAGAAAAAAUCA